UAGCGCGGUGGUCCCACCUGACCCCAUGCCGAACUCAGAAGUGAAACGCCGUAGCGCCGAUGGUAGUGUAGGGUCUCCCCAUGCGAGAGUAGGGAACUGCCAGGC
RNAcentral lists this ribosomal RNA (105 nucleotides) under Escherichia coli. The record is from RNAcentral. Lineage: Bacteria; Pseudomonadati; Pseudomonadota; Gammaproteobacteria; Enterobacterales; Enterobacteriaceae.